Non-coding RNA from Myxococcales bacterium SG8_38_1, 221 nucleotides. The record is from Rfam. Lineage: Bacteria; Pseudomonadati; Myxococcota; Myxococcia; Myxococcales.
GAAGUCCCCCAUGAGGAAGGCGUAGCGAACCACCUCAGCCCCGAGUCAUGCGCCGGGGGCCGCGAGGUCUCGGGCGAAGCGUUGACAGGGGGUAUGCGGGCCGGGCUAUGGAGCCGCGAAAAGACAUCCAUCGGGGUGCCGACGCUCUCGCAUCAGCGGAAGGCAACACGGUGCAUCGCGCCAGCGCGAGUGGUGCGCCGCCCCCGCGUGGUCGAAGAACC